Molecule: ribosomal RNA, 253 nt
Filed under: uncultured bacterium
Lineage: Bacteria
Description: partial 16S ribosomal RNA
Rfam family: Bacterial small subunit ribosomal RNA
Source: RNAcentral
GACAGAGGUGCCAAGCGUUAGGCGGAAUCACUGGGCUUAAAGCGUGUGUAGGCGGCUUGGUAUGUCGGGUGUGAAAUCCCCGGGCUCAACCUGGGAACUGCAUCCGAAACUGCCUUGCUUGAGUAUGGGAGAGGGAAGUGGAAUUUCCGGUGUAGCGGUGAAAUGCGUAGAUAUCGGAAGGAACAUCAGUGGCGAAGGCGACUUCCUGGACCAAUACUGACGCUCAGGUGCGAAAGCGUGGGGAGCAAACAGG